Molecule: long non-coding RNA, 39346 nt
Filed under: Brassica napus (rape)
Lineage: Eukaryota; Viridiplantae; Streptophyta; Magnoliopsida; Brassicales; Brassicaceae
Description: long non-coding RNA (BNAP_LNC006424)
Source: RNAcentral
CUUAAAUAGAAACUUUUAGAAAAUUAUUUAUAAAAUACAUCCUAUUGAUCAAAAAUUCUAUAAGAAUACACAUCUAACAACAAAAACUCUAUUUAUCCCAAUUUCCAAAUCAAAAUCCCAAAUCUACAAUAUUUCUCUUUAAAAAUGAAAACUUUCCUUAGAUAGAAAUUUUUAGAAAAUUAUUUAUAAAAUACAUCUUAUUGAUCAAAAAUUCUAAAAGAACAUACAUCUAACAACAAAAACUCUAUUAGUCUCAAUUUCCUAAUUAAAAUCCUAUAUCUCCAAUAUUUCUCUAUAAAAAUGAAAACUUUCCAUAAAUAGAAAUUUUUAGAAAAUAAUUUUAAAAAUACAUCCUAUUGAUCAAAAAUUCUAAAAGAACACACAUUUAACAACAAAAACUCUAUUUAUCCCAAUUUCCAAAUCAAAAUCCCAAAUCUACAAUAUUUCUCUUUAAAAAUGAAAACUGUCCUUAGAUAGAAAUUUUUAGAAAAUUAUUUAUAAAAUACAUCCUAUUGAUCAAAAAUUCUAAAAGAACACACAUUUAACAACAAAAACUCUAUUUAUCCCAAUUUCCAAAUCAAAAUCCCAAAUCUACAAUAUUUCUCUUUAAAAAUGAAAACUUUCCUUUAAUAGAAACUUUUAGAAAUUUAUUUGUAAAAUACAUCUUAUUGAUAAAAAAUUCUAAAAGAACACACAUCUAACAACAAAAACUUUAUUAAUCAUUAUCCCAAUUUCCAAGUCAAAAUCCCAAAUCUAUAAUAUUUCUCUUUAAAAAUGAAAACUUUCCUUAAAUGGAAACUUUUAGAAAAUUAUUUAUAAAAUACAUCCUAUUGAUCAAAAAUUCUAAAAGAAUACACAUCUAACAACAAAAACUCUAUUUAUCUCAAUUUCCUAAUCAAAAUCCCAAAUCUACAAUAUUUCUCUAUAAAAAUGAAAACUUUCCUUAAAUAGAAAGUUUUAGAAAAUAAUUUAUAAAAUACAUCCUAGUGAUUAAAAAUUCUAAAAGAAUACACUUCUAACAAUAAAAACUCUAUUUAUCCCAAUUUCCAAAUCAAAAUCUCAAAUCUCAAAUAUUUCUCUAUUAAAAUGAAAACUUUCCUUAAAUAGAAACUUUUAGAAAAUUAUUUAUAAAAUACAUCAUAUUGAUCAAAAAUUCUAAAAGAAUACACUUCUAACAACAAAAACCGUAUUUAUCCCAAUUUCCAAAUCAAAAUACCAAAUCUACAAUAUUUCUCUUUAAAAAUGAAAACUUUCCUUUAAUAGAAAUUUUUAGAAAAUAAUUUUAAAAAUACAUCCGAUUGAUCAAAUAUUCUAAAAGAAUACACUUCUAACAACCAAAACUCUAUUUAUCCCAAUUUCCUAAUCAAAAUCCCAAAUCUCUAAUAUUUCUCUAAAAAAAUGAAAACUUUCCUUAAAUAGAAACUAUUAGAAAAUUAUUUAUAAAAUACAUCCUAUUGAUCAAAAUUUCUAAAAGAAUACACAUCUAACAACAAAAACUCUAUUUAUCCCAAUUUCCUAAUCAAAAUCCCAAAUCUACAAUAUUUCUCUAUAAAAAUGAAAACUUUCCUUAAAUAGAAAGUUUUAGAAAAUAAUUUAUAUAAUACAUCCUAUUGAUUAAAAAUUCUGAAAGAAUAGACUUCUAACAACAAAAACUCUAUUUAUCCCAAUUUCCAAGUCAAAAUCCCAAAUCUAUAAUAUUUCUCUUUAAAAAUGAAAACUUUCCUUAAAUGGAAACUUUUAGAAAAUUAUUUAUAAAAUACAUCCUAUUGAUCAAAAAUUCUAAAAGAAUACACAUCUAACAACAAAAACUCUAUUUAUCCCAAUUUCCAAAUCAAAAUCCCAAAUCUACAAUAUUUCCCAUUAAAAAUUAAAACUUUUCUUAAAUAGAAACUUUUAGAAAAUUAUUUAUAAAAUGCAUCCUAUUGAUCAAAAAUUCUAAAAGAAUACACAUCUAACAACAAAAACUCUAUUUAUCCCAAUUUCCAAAUCAAAAUCCCAAUUCACAAUAUUUCUUUUUAAAAAUGAAAACUUUCCUUUAAUAGAAACUUUUAGAAAUUUAUUUAUAAAAUACAUCCUAUUGAUCAAAAAUUCUAAAAGAAAACACAUCUAACAACAAAAACUCUUUUUAUCCCAAUUUCCAAAUCAAAAUCCCAAAUCUCCAAUAUUUCUCUUUAAUAAUGUAAACUUUUCUUAAAUAGAAAUGUUUAGAAAAUAAUUUUAAAAAUACAUCCUAUUGAUCAAAAAUUCUAAAAGAAUACACAUCUAACAAUAAAAACUCUAUUUAUCCCAAUUUCUAAAUCAAAAUCCCAAAUCUCCAAUAUUUCUCUUUAAUAAUGUAAACUUUUCUUGAAUAGAAAUGUUUAGAAAAUAAUUUUAAAAAUACAUCCUAUUGAUCAAAAAUUCUAAAAGAAUACACAUCUAACAAUAAAAACUCUAUUUAUCCCAAUUUCUAAAUCAAAAUCCCAAAUCUCCAAUAUUUCUCUUUAAUAAUGUAAACUUUUCUUGAAUAGAAAUGUUUAGAAAAUAAUUUUAAAAAUACAUCCUAUUGAUCAAAAAUUCUAAAAGAAUACACAUCUAACAAUAAAAACUCUAUUUAUCCCAAUUUCUAAAUCAAAAUCCCAAAUCUCCAAUAUUUCUCUUUAAUAAUGUAAACUUUUCUUGAAUAGAAAUGUUUAGAAAAUAAUUUUAAAAAUACAUCCUAUUGAUCAAAAAUUCUAAAAGAAUACACAUCUAACAAUAAAAACUCUAUUUAUCCCAAUUUCUAAAUCAAAAUCCCAAAUCUCCAAUAUUUCUCUUUAAUAAUGUAAACUUUUCUUGAAUAGAAAUGUUUAGAAAAUAAUUUUAAAAAUACAUCCUAUUGAUCAAAAAUUCUAAAAGAAUACACAUCUAACAAUAAAAACUCUAUUUAUCCCAAUUUCUAAAUCAAAAUCCCAAAUCUCCAAUAUUUCUCUUUAAUAAUGUAAACUUUUCUUGAAUAGAAAUGUUUAGAAAAUAAUUUUAAAAAUACAUCCUAUUGAUCAAAAAUUCUAAAAGAAUACACAUCUAACAAUAAAAACUCUAUUUAUCCCAAUUUCUAAAUCAAAAUCCCAAAUCUCCAAUAUUUCUCUUUAAUAAUGUAAACUUUUCUUGAAUAGAAAUGUUUAGAAAAUAAUUUUAAAAAUACAUCCUAUUGAUCAAAAAUUCUAAAAGAAUACACAUCUAACAAUAAAAACUCUAUUUAUCCCAAUUUCUAAAUCAAAAUCCCAAAUCUCCAAUAUUUCUCUUUAAUAAUGUAAACUUUUCUUGAAUAGAAAUGUUUAGAAAAUAAUUUUAAAAAUACAUCCUAUUGAUCAAAAAUUCUAAAAGAAUACACAUCUAACAAUAAAAACUCUAUUUAUCCCAAUUUCUAAAUCAAAAUCCCAAAUCUCCAAUAUUUCUCUUUAAUAAUGUAAACUUUUCUUGAAUAGAAAUGUUUAGAAAAUAAUUUUAAAAAUACAUCCUAUUGAUCAAAAAUUCUAAAAGAAUACACAUCUAACAAUAAAAACUCUAUUUAUCCCAAUUUCUAAAUCAAAAUCCCAAAUCUCCAAUAUUUCUCUUUAAUAAUGUAAACUUUUCUUGAAUAGAAAUGUUUAGAAAAUAAUUUUAAAAAUACAUCCUAUUGAUCAAAAAUUCUAAAAGAAUACACAUCUAACAAUAAAAACUCUAUUUAUCCCAAUUUCUAAAUCAAAAUCCCAAAUCUACAAUAUUUCCCAAAUCUAGUCAAGUGAUGGUUCCCACAUAUUUGAAAAAUAAAAAAUGCUAGUACAACAGAAAUUAUUUGAUGUGAAAGUCUUCCUUUUUCAAGAUUUUGGUUCACACCUAGAAAAACAAAAGACUUGAAACUGGAGAUGUGUAUUAAGAUUGUACAUGCUACAACCUUCAAAUAACAAGUGCCAUGUUUAUUCUGUGUAGGUAAAGUAUACAAAGAUGUAGUCGGUAGCGCAUACUAUGUUGCACCUGAAGUUCUACAUCGAAACUACGGUAAAGAGAUCGAUGUGUGGAGCGCUGGUGUCAUGCUUUACAUUCUUCUAUGCGGUGUUCCUCCAUUUUGGGGUGGUAUGUUAAAAACAUUUUUUUGUGAAUCUAAAGUUUAUUAUCACUCCAUUUGAAGAAUGUUAAGAAAUGAAAUGUUACAAAACCGGUACUAUAUAUUGUUUUAGAGACCGAGAAGACUAUAUUUGAGGCGGUCUUAGAAGGGAAUUUAGAUCUUGAAUCUUCUCCUUGGCCUACUAUAUCGGAAAGUGCAAAGGACUUGAUAAGAAAGAUGUUGGCAAGAGACCCUAAAAAACGGAUUACUGCAGCUGAAGCACUUGGUAUGUGUUUGCAAUUUGUCUUGAUUUGUGACACAUUAUAUAUACCUCAUAGCUAACUAACUAAGCGUUAUUUUGUUGCGAUUAAAGCGCAUCCAUGGUUGACGGAUAGCGAAGUUUCAGAUAAACCAAUUGAUAGUGCAGUCCUUAUUAGGAUGAAGCAGUUCCGCGCAAUGAACAAGCUCAAGAAACUUGCCUUGAAGGUAAAGUUAACUGAUACUCCAUCAUCAAAAAGAUGAUUUAAAGAACAUUAAAGUUAACUGUUGUCUUUUGUCUUUUGUUUAAUAGGUCAUAGCUGAAAACUUAUCAGAAGAAGAGAUUAAGGGAUUAAAGCAGAUGUUUAAAAACAUUGAUACGGACGGAAGUGGCACCAUCACUUUUGAUGAACUAAGAACCGGUUUACAUCGUCUUGGAUCCAAACUUACUGAAUCUGAAAUCAAACAACUCAUGGAAGCUGUAAGAAGACAAGAACACAAAUCCACUUGGUGAUAUAAUUAAGCUAAUUACAUUAUUAUUCUGUUUUUGAUGAUAGGCUGAUGUGGAUAAAAGCGGGACGAUUGAUUACAUUGAGUUCAUAACAGCUACAAUGCAUCGGCAUAGAUUGGAGAAAGAGGAGCAUUUGCUAGAAGCAUUCAAAUACUUUGACAAAGACAGAAGCGGGUUUGUUUUUUUUGUUUUUCCUUAUAUUGUGACAGAAAUAUAUUAAAGAUGAAAUUAUCUUUCUAACGUAAUCUUUCAUAUUUUUCUUCUUCUUAAAGAUACAUCACAAGGGACGAGCUUAAGCAUUCGAUGACACAGUAUGGAAUGGGUGAUGAUGCUACCAUAGAUGAAGUCAUCAAUGAUGUUGAUACAGACAACGUAAGAAUAAAUUUAAUUACUUUUAUUAAUUUUGUGUUGAUUUCUAUAAAUGUUGAUGAUUGAUAGGAUGGGAGAAUAAAUUAUGAGGAGUUUGUGGCGAUGAUGACGAAGGGAACUACAGAUCAUUCAGAUGCGAAGCUGAUCAGAUGAUAUAUUCAUCUAGACAUAUAGAUGCUUUGCUUCCACCAUUAAUAAAGUAUAAAACUAAUAAUAAAGUAUCAAAAAAGAAAAACGAAUGAGACGAGAAUCAAUGCAUUCUUUUGACAUUUCUCUUUAAAUGUUUAAAAUGAUUUGUUUGUACCUACCUGCGUGAGUUUGAAUAUAAGAAGAACGAAAAUCCCCUGAAAGUACGUAACAAAGUAAUAAAUAAAAUCAAACAGAGAACGAACGUGUCCAAACCUAACGAAUCCUAAACGGUUCGUUAGUGAAAGUAACGUUGUCGGAAAAGCCUUUUACGGCCCAACUCGAGACCCAUGAGGCUUUUAAAUGAAAAUAGCAAACCCUCUGUGUCGCCUAGAGGCUUUCGUGAAACGCUGCUAAAACACCAGAUAACAAAUCGGAAUUUUUUUUAAAAUUGACGACGAUGCUCUCCAUCUCUCCGGUGCCGAGCUUCUCUAUAACCUCCGUGAAAUAUCUUCGCUCUCCUUCCUCUUCCUCCUUCAUCUCCGUCUUCCCUAAACUUUCCAGAUUCGUCACAGCCACUUCCGCAACCCCCAAUUCAACACCGGAGACCACCACCACGAGAGUCAACAACGCCGGCCUCAAACUCGACGAGACAGUCUCCGUCUCCAAAGGCAAGAUUCGCCUCGACUCAUGGAUCUCCUCUCGCGUCGAUGGAGUUAGCCGAGCUCGCGUACAGUCCAGCAUCCGCCAAGGACUCGUCUCCGUCAAUGGCCACGUCAUCGAUAAGGUUUCGAACUUCAGAUUCAAAUCCUUCAAAAUUUGCGUCAAACAAAGUUUUCACCUUUAGAUCUCUCUUGCAGGUUUCGCACAAUGUGAAAGCUGGCGAUGAGGUUCAUUGUACGAUAUCAAAGCUCCAACCUUUGAGAGCUGAACCCGAAGACAUACCGUUAGAUAUAGUUUACGAAGAUCAGCACGUGCUCGUCGUUAACAAACCGCCUCACAUGGUAGUCACGUGUUUCUUUAAUACUUUGAAAAAAUUGAAUCUUUGGUGUUUACCAAUGUUCAAGAAAUCGCUAGGCAGUGUUUAUUUAGACGUCUUAUAGAAGAUUAUUGUUUAAACCGGCGCCUAAACCGAUUUUUAGAACACUGGUGUUGAAGAAUCUCUCUCGUUUGGUGGUUUAGGUUGUUCAUCCUGCGCCUGGGAAUCCUAAUGGGACGCUUGUUAACGGAAUACUUCACCAUUGUAGUCUCCCUUGUGUUGCUACUUAUUCAAACCAAGAAGAUGAUGAUGAUUCGGAUGAAGAAGAAACGUUUUCAGAUGAUGAAGGGAUGAUUCGUCCAGGUAUUGUUCAUAGGUUGGAUAAAGGGACUAGUGGAUUGCUCGUUGUAGCUAAGGUUAGUACCUGUCUUUUGUCUUUUUUUCUUUUUGUUGCUUUAUGAGGUGUGACUUUAACUGGAAGUGUGAUGGUCAGGAUGAGCAUUCUCAUGCUCAUUUGGCGGAACAGUUCAAGCUGCACACGAUUGAGAGAGUUUAUAUAAGUCUUACCACUGGAGUUCCUUCUCCGUCUCAGGGGAGGAUUGAUGUACCGAUUGGUAGGGAUUCGAAUAAUCGGAUCCGUAUGGCUGCUAUACCUGGAUCAUUGAGCCGUGGAAGGGCUCGUCAUGCUGCUAGUAGGUGAUGGAGCAGUCUUUUUUACAAGUGCACUGUAACACUGAUGCUUGUAUCCUCACAUAUUCUCAUGUUCUCUUAGGUAUAAGGUAGUUGAAACACUCGCUGGAGGUGGCUCUGCGUUGGUUGAGUGGAGACUAGAAACUGGCCGUACACAUCAGGUAGUGAAAGAAAUCAAAAUCUGUAAAUUUGUUUUUUAAUUUGUUCACAUCUAUGUCUGCAAGAGUUUGACUUUAACCUCUAUGUUGCUGAUAUACUACCUGAGUUUCAUCUUGAUUUGAGUUUAGAUACGUGCGCAUGCCAAGUACAUGGGAGUACCUCUACUGGGUGACGAAGUGUAUGGAGGAACGAAAAGCAUGGCACUUUCUCUUCUGCAGAGAAGAGUCUCCCGGAGUGAUCAAGAAGAGAUCAUAGAGCUGGUGUCAAGAAUGGAUAGGCCUUGUCUUCAUGCUAUAGUUCUCGGGUGAGAGAUAACUCAAAAUCUCAGUCUUUAUAGUCUAAACUCAAAGCUUAGGAGAUAGAACAUGUUUAUAAUAACUGCUUUUCUCUAAUUAUGUUUUCUUUCACAGCUUUGAACAUCCGUGCACAGGAGAAAUCAUAAAGUUUUCAUGUCCACCGCCUCCGGAUCUUGCUGAGAUAGUAGGCCUGCUUCGUAGAAGCGGAAGAGACAAAGUAACCACCAAACUCUACUUUUAUUUUACUUAAUCUCAUGCCUAGAGCUAAGUUACUCUGUUUUCAUUACAGAGAUUUUGUUUAUGCUGAGUCUUCUUAAGUCGUGGUCUUUCUUUCUUUUGGCAGGUGGAAUAAUCUCUCGAUUUUGGUUUAUAAACUCAUAGUCUCGGACAUUGAUUCUGCAGUAGCAUGAGAGAUAUCAACGCCACUAUCCUUUAAAGCAGCAAGCAAUCAAACUUCUCUCUGAAGAUAUUUGACGAAACAAAUGAAAGUGUAGUCUCAGUUUCAUGAUCCAAGUGUUUUAUAGUACAGCUAAGAGGUGUAUAAAGCUCAAAUGGGAACUUACCAAAAACAUCUACGUGUUUCAAAUGAUAUUCCAAACCCAACAAAAUCAACAUCAGCUAAGCUAAUAGACACCUGUAUCUUUCGCCUUCUCCCUUCUCGCCACAAUUUAUAAAGAGAUAACAGAGGCACAAACAGAAAAGAAUGAUGAGCAGACCACUGAUCAGUAGCUAUUUUUGACAAAUCAAGUACACUAUUCUUGAUGUAUAUAAAAUAAGCAUCUCGCUGUGGUGAUUGGUCAAGAAUAUGUAUGUGAAUAGACUCAGUUUCUCUGUAAUCUGCGACGUUUCAAAGAUAAAAUCAUGUGCACAAAAAAGAAAGUUUCAUUCACAUUUUACCCCCAACAAAAAAAAAGUUUCAAGUCUCAACGAUUAAAAGCAUUUAAGUACGAACCCGAAUAAAAUAUAAGAACUCGAAAACCUUGUCUUGAAGGAUCCAUGAGGGUACACGAAACAUUUUACUCAGUUUCUUCUGCUAAGGCUUAGUAAUAGACAUUUCCAUACUUUCUAAAAUCUUUCCGAGUUUCAUCCUCCGAUAACUAUCUUGAACUUUUUUAGCACUACAGAUCUCUCGAGCGUUUCCUAUACUUGUCACUGACUCGUCUUGCAGAAAUAUAGUUACUCGAUUAUAUGUUUAAAUUUAUUUGAUAAACAAAAGAGUAAAGCCUUUCUGUAAUGAAAGUACAUCUUAUCUAUUAAUUUCACUGCUAGCUACAAAUAAAAAUGGUAAAAUAAUAAGUCUUUCUAACAUUAUGUUUAAACAUCACUAUAAAUAAUGAUGCAGUAAUAUUUUUAAAUGUUUGGUAGGAAAUAAAAAAUCUAGAAGGGGACGUUGCGAUGGACACCGAAAGCGGUGAGGUAGACAUCAGUGUUUCUUCCGUAAAACCCGAUUAUCUUCCUGCCUCCUCCUCCUCGGAGCACAAAUGGCGUCCCAUCCUCGGGUCCAUAUCGGGGCGCUAUUUUUCUCUUGUGCAACCGGAACGUGAGGGAGGUAAUGUAGUUGUCGUUGUAGGUGCCCUCGACAGCUUCAAUGUAGUCAUCAUCAUCGAUUAAAACCUAUAACAAAAAACCUAUAUUAUAGAUCAUGAGUUAGAAAAAUAAAAUAAGAAAACUCACGUCAUCAUAUGUAAUAUGUGUUGCAUUCCCGUGAACGGCUCCGAUUACAACUGCCUUGUUGUUGGAGUAAUCAAAUUUGACAAAGGCCACGCCAGUAUCACUUUGUCCUACACUUAUUUUCUUCACAUUAUCGAAGAAGCCAUCGUCCCAUUCGUUUUCUCCAACUCCAUUGGUCGCUUCUACUCCUCUGGGGAAUACAAAAUGGGACUUGGCAUCGUUCGCCCCAGUAGGAAGUGGAACGAAACUCGGAUAGUAGGUAAGAUGACGAGUUCGAAACCCAACCAACUCAUUUAUUUCAAUUUCGUGAAACUUAUCUCCCUUGACAAUAUAAAUACACGUAUUUCCGUUUUCAUUAAUGCAACACAAUGCGAGACCAUUACUUUUCUCGUCGAUGAAGUAACUUGGUCUUUCUGAGUCGUCAACUAGUAUAUUUGACCAUAUAGGAACUAGCACAUUCAUGAACUUCAUCCACUCUACGGAUUCUCCAUCCCCAUUUUUAAUCGUAUCUUUUGUCACCCAAAUCUCAAUAUUCCUUGUGUUCCAGUCUUGCUCUAAAAUAGAAAAUCGAUCUCUCCUAUAAAUCUCAAGAACUCUAACAUUUGAUAGAUCGUUUUUGCCAGGCAAGUUACAAUAGGGUUUGAGACUUUCAAUAGAAAAAUCAAAACUUAGAAUAAAAGGCUGGCGUGCACUUUUUUUAACAGCAAUCCAAUACAAAGUUCCAUUCAGAGAUAUAGUAUAGCUACCCCAAACCAUACUCCAGCUAUGGGAUGAAAACUCGUACGAUUUCCAUGCAUUGGAUCCAACCUCCGUGGUAUUAACAUACCUGGUGUCAUAAUUCAUACGAGACCCAAAGAGCUUGUAAUGGUUGUCGGGUUUACUAUAGUCGUAUCCCAUCCCAAUGAACCAACAAAAUGAUGGUUUCGAUUUGAUCCAUCUAAUACGUCUUAACCAUGGGUUGCAAAUCCCGAAGCCCGUAGAUGUGGCAUAAAUCAAUAAUCCCUCGCAAUAGUGCAUUCUCAUGACCAUCCUAUGUUCAUAGUUGGGAAUAUCGGAGGGUAAGUCAUGCACUUCUAUAGAUGGACCGUCGAAAUUAACGUCUACUGAACAAGUCUUAGAUUCGGAAAUCAAGACGAACUGUGGACGAGCCAAAUGAUUGUUAAUGAACUUCAAAUCAUUUAAAAGAGUGUUCCAUCGUUUGCAAACAGAUCUGAAUCGAGCUACAGAUUUCAGUGGAAUCCGAGAGAGUAUACUUUCCUCCAGUUCCCACAAAAGAUGCUCUUGCUGCAUUAUAUUAUCUGUUAUGGGCUAGGUUUGUGACAAAAUAAUCAUUUACAUCACAAUUUGAUUAUAUAUAGAUGGAUCUGUAUAGGAGGAAUUUGUAAAUUACAUUGGAAAUAUUAGUCCAUAUAUAAACAAGGAAAAUAGCAGUGCGUGGAGAAUGAACAAGAGAACAAAAUCCUUUUGUUUUCAGAAUUAACUAGAGUUGGUAAGAGAUAUUAAAAAAAAUUAACUUAGAACACAUCCAAUGAAAGAUUUUCUACAGAUUAUCAUCCAAAAAUGAAUGAAAAUGAAAAAGAAGAAGAAAAGUAUCUCAUUUGAGAACUCAUGAGAUAUUCUUCCUAAUAGGUGGUCAUCUUUUAAUUAAUCUAUUUAUGUUUAGUAUUAAAUUUAAACAAAAGAUCAGAUUAUGUUAAAAUAUGAUAAAUUUUAGAUACUAAUUUCAAGAAGCUUUAUGGUAGGCAUGCAUAAAGAAACUUUAUGGAUAGGCACACAAAAAUCAAAUAAUUAAUCUGGAUUGGAUGUUAGUCACUGGACCUAUAUAAAAAAAGUAAUAAUUAUAGUCACUAGAUUUAUAUCCAAAAUAAAAAGUUAUAUAACUUAAAAUAUAAAAUAAAUCCGCAAAGAAAAAUAUAUAUAAAAAUAAUUAAAUUAAAAGUUCAAAAAUAAUAAAAUCUUUGACUAUGACUGAUCAUUUGUUUUGCUUAAACUUAUAACCUCUUAUGUAAUUGAAAUAUUAGGGAAGAUAUUUUUAAAAAAAGAUCUUCGUAUUAAUUUUGUUUACAAAGACAUGUGGAAAAACAUAAGAACAAAAUAAAUACAAAUGAACUGAAAAUAAAUCAACUACUUCCCGGUCCACUCAGAACGGGUUAGUCGAAACCCUAAUUCAAAAUACAAAGGAAAAAAAACAGAUUAGCCGCCACCAGCCAACCCAACACAGUAGGAAUGAACUUUCAGAUUUCAUUUUAGGGUCAGUUUGGAUUUACAUGUUUUGGAAGCAAAAAUUUAGUCUCAUUCAGAUAUUGUAAUAGUUCAAUUGGUGGCGGUUCGGUUUCACUCGGGUUUGGUCGGAUAUAGUGACAUAUUGGAAAUAUGGUUAAACUCCAAAAUACAUAUCUAAGUUCACAAUUUGAAUGUUUUUGAAAACUUACAUUGACAAAGACUUUGUGGCAUGAUUAAAAAGUGGUUGUUAAAAAAGGAAAAAUUCCAUAAAAAUACCCCAACUAAAUUGUCACUGACUCGUCUUGCAGAAAUAUUCCUCUGCUUCACCUCGAGGAUGUUCCUCUGCUUGAGCUUGGCUCACUUGGAGUCCUCUAGCAAUAUUAUCUUCCGUCUCCAUUGAUUAUUUCCUUCUCCAACACUCUUACAGACCAAAUAAUCUUCAUAUACUGGCUCCUUGCUUGUAACCCAUGAAAGCAGUCUACAAAAGAGAUGAAAAAGAAACAUGAUGAUUUAACAAACAUAUAUGAUUCAAGUGUAACCCACAUUAAACCAUAUCACGACAUACAUGGUAACAUGGAUCCCGCAAGAACAGAUAUAGAAGUGAGAACAUAUAUUUGACAAUAUUGUUCUGUAAGGUCGUGAUGUAAGGAGCAGUAUCUCUUCACGUUUAUUAACAACACUAUGAUAAGUAUUAUGAGAAACAAACUAAGCAGGCUUUGUUCUUAAACAGCACCAAGCACACUGCUCAAUCAGAAAAAAUAAUAAGGCAUAUGAGGAGACCUAGAGCCGUUCGCAAAAGAGUAGACGAAGUGAAUCAUUCUUAGAACUGACGCUUGUUUCUUUUUAAGAAUCUACAUCAGAUUUCAUAAAAUAAUCAGAGUAGGAUGAAAGCAAAAACUUUAAAACGAAUCGUCCAACUACCAAGAUUUUAGGUACUAACGCUUACAAAAUAAUUACGCAGAGCCUCCUUAGUUGUUGCUGCUGGCGACCGGAUGAGCCAAUUGUGCAAAUAUAAGGCCCGAUUAGAAACAAAGCCCAUCCGUAUGUAGUCUGAAUUUAAUGAAACGCUGUGUAUUGAUUGUUCUCCCACGUGGCGCGCCUAGGAUCACUGACUUUCUGAUCUGGAAUCCUAGGUGGCAGCAUGAGAAGAGAGAAAACACUUUUAUAUAUAUACAGAAAAAAAAUAAUAUUUAGUUUUCUCUCAAUUUGUGAAAACUAUUUUAAAAUAUAUUUAUUAUUCAGUUUUGUUAUUUUUAUUAAAACAUAUAUUUUUUAUUAAAAAACAUAUGUUUAUCUAAAUGUUUACUAAAAUAAUAUGUUUUGUUAUUUUCAUUUACUCUUUAAAACUAUUAUUUUUGGAAAUUUUUUAUUUUUAUAGAGAACUAAUGAAGAUUUUGGAUAAUGAUUUAAAAAUUAGGAUACAUUUUUUUUAUAUAGAUGGGUAUCCUUUCAGAAAUUUUAAUCAAUAAGUUGCAUUUUCAAAACUUUUUUUUUAAAUUGCUAUUUUGGAAAAUUUUCAUUUUAUAGAGAACUACUGUAGAUUUAAGCUUUGGAUUUAGAAAUUAGGAUAACAAGAAUUUUUGUUGAUAGAUGAGUAUACUUUCAUAAUUUUCACCAAUAGGUUGCAUUUUUUAAAUAAUUAUUUUCUUAGAGAUUUUUCAUUUUUAUAGAGAACUAUUGUUGAUAACAAUAAUUUUUGAUGAUCGAUAAGUAUUCUUUCAGAUUUUUUCACGAAUAGAUUGCAUUAUUAAAAUAAUAUUUUUAAAAGCUGCUAUUUUUGGAAAUUUUUCAUUUUUAUAGGGAACUAUUGUAGAUUUCGAAUUAUGAUUCAAAAAUUAAGAUAACAAGAUUUUUGUUGAUAGAUGAGUAUUCUUUUAUAAUUUUUUAGCAGCUGGUUGUAUUUUUUAAAUAUAUUUUUUUAAACUGUUAUUUUUGGCAAGUUUUCAUUUUUAUAGAGAACUAUUGUAGAUUUGAGAUUCUGAUUCAGAAAUUAGGAUAACAAGAAUUUUUGUUGAUGGAUGAGUAUUCUUUCGGAAUUUUUCAUCAAUUGGUUGCACUUUUUAAAUCAUUUUUUUAACUGCUAUUUUUGGAAAGUUUUCAUUUUUUUUAAAGAGAACUAUUGUAUAUUUGAGUUUUUAAUUAGAAAUUAGGAGAACAAGAAUUGUUUUUGAUAGAUGAGUAUUCUUUCAGAAUUUUACAUCAAUAAGUUGUAUUUUAAAAAUAUUUUUUUAAACCGUUAUUUUGGAAUAUUUUCAUUUUAUAGAAAACUAUUUUGGUUGGAGUUUGGUUUAGAAAUUAGGAUAACAAUAAAUUUUUUGAUAGAUGAGCAUUCUUUCAGAAUUUUUAAUCAAUAGGUUGCUUUUUAAAAAUAUUUUUUUUAAAAUAAUUUUUUUUUAAAAAUUGCUUUUUUUUUUGAAAGUUUUCAAUUUUUCAGGGAAUCAUUGUAGAUUUAAGGUUGCGAGUUAGAAAUUAGGAUAACAAAAAUUUAACAGAUAAAUGAAUAUUUUUUUUAAGAAUUUUUCACUAAUAGAUUGCAAUUUUAAAAUAUUUUUUUUAAACUGUUAUAUUUUUUAUUGAGAACAAUCGUAGAUUUGGCAUUCUGAUUUAGAAAUUAAGAUAAACGAGUUUUUUUUUAUAAUAGUUUAUUGUUAUCAUGUAUGUAGUAAUACCCUUCAAGUCUUUAUACACAAACUACCCUAAUUAAUAUAACCAUUCAAAAUAACGCAAUCAAAUAAACGAUUAUGUUUACCUACCAAUGCGAAGAUGAAUGAUGGAUCCGAUCCUUACUCUUUAGUUUUGCGCAGUGGCGGACCCAUUCACACAAAAGAGAUGUCAACUGACACCGUAUAAAUUACAAAAGUUGAUUAUAGUCACUUCAAAAUUUACCAUCACAUGACCCCUGUAAAAUUGGCUUGAUGACCCCGCUAGUUUUUUCGGGAGUCUGUGCUUUUUAUAUCCACAUCUCAGAGUUUACACAAGACAAAGUAUAAAUGAGCAAAAACAAUAAUCUUGCAUUGCUGUCUUUUUGCUUCAAGAAGAGUUGAUUCUUUCAAAGUAUCAGUAGAAUCAAGUGAUCAUAUUUAAUUUGGAUAUAUAGUGCCACAGACUGCAAGUAGAAGGCGGUUGGCCAAUCAGGGAAGACUUCUUGCGCAAUCAUCCCAUCGUAAAGAGCUCGAUCUGGUUGAUUGCAGAAUAAAUAGCAUAGACUACGCCUCGCAUAAACACUUGGGUACACCGUUCUCCUAGAAUCAAUGAACUGAGAAUAACAGUGAAUGGCGGUUUCAAAGUCUUGCUCUAGGAAGGCUUGAUCACCAUGUUUUCGAACCUCUUGAAUAUCUUUUACCUCUUCCAUCCAUUCUUCGAAAGAGUCUGUGCUUUUGUUUUUUCUUCUACACAGGUUCAUUUACUCUUUUUAUUCUUUCUUCAACCGAUGCUUACUAAAAAUGUAAUUUGUUAUGAUAAAGUUUCCAGUUUUGUACUCUCUUCUUAUAUUUUAUUUAUUAUUUUCCGGUUAAAACUCUUUAUUGCUGCUUUAAAUCUUUCAACCACCGUUCCACAAAGAUGAGUAGAUUUCAUAUCACAAAAACUAGAUUUCGUGUGGCAUAAGAUAUGGUCCGUUAGAAAUGUCGCUAUAUAUAAGUCCGUUUCCGCCUAAGAUUUACUCAGUAUCACACAACAAAUUUAUCCCUCUCUCUCUUUAAUUGUUAUAUCUCUAUCUCUCUGUGUGAAAGAACACAAUGGCACAACAAAGGAUGGGUCCUUCUGGAUUUCAACUCGCUGGAGACAACAGUUUCGACGACGGUGCACUAGACUUCGACGGCGUAAAGAAUGUGUCCAUUGGGGUUCGUGAAAAACAAAUCGUUUAUAUAAGCUUAACGUACUCAAGGGGCGAAAAUAAGGAGACGAUCACCCACGGAGAACAACCUAACGAGAACAUGGAGGUUCUGUCUCUACACACCCUUUUUCAUCUCUUUUACAUACGCAUGCAGUCGAUCGAUAUUGCCAAUUACUUUAAAUGCAUUUAAUUUAUGUAUGCAGAUCACGUUUGGAAAAGGUGAAGGGUAUUGUAAGACUGUCGGAGGCAUUUACAAACGUGGAACUCCGCAGCUUCCAACAGGGUAUAUUAGCAACUUGUAUUUUGUAACCUCCAAAGGACAGAAGACGGAAUCGUACGUUCGAGCCGCUGCAGAUGAGUCGGAUGAGGCUUUCAGUUUCACUGCGGAUGGGGAAACCCAAUUGGUUGGAUUAUUCGGACGGUUCGGGCAGAAAGGAUUAAUCACGAUAGGGGCGUUGUUUGCACCAGAAUGAAGCCAAGAUUAAAGAAGUAAGCAAAGAUGAAGGAAGAAGCUGAUAUAAUUAUAUAAAGAAACAUAUACAGAAAAAUAAACAUGUAUGGAGUUACGUACAUCAAAGUAACAAAAUAUUGUUAGCAAAAAAAAAAGUAAUAAAAUAUCAGUAUUUAUUUUAAGGCAACAGUGUAGAAUUUCAGCAUUAUUUCAACCCGUACGCAAAUAUUUUCUUUAUAUAUUAUAAAUUUCAAUUAUUUUAUAACAUUUUAGGAGUAGUUUACUCAAUCAGAACACUUAACAAAAAUUAUUGCGUCAGCUACUUUUGUCGAAGGUGCUUGAACUAUAAACAAGCUUAAUUAGGUUAUGGACUAAACUAAAGUUCUUAAGGGAUAUUUUUAAUUAACUGGAUACACUUCUUUUUUUCUGUUGAACGAACUGGAUACACUCUUUCUGAGUCCUCUUUUGUUGACAUCAUUUAACACCACCGAGUCUCUAAACUACUAUAUAUAACAUGCGUGUUUUUCAAUUCUUUUAAUUUUUGAAAAACAAAACACAUACCAACAAUUAUAUUUAGUUAUAAUUAGGUUAAAUAAAAAUGACUGUUGGUUGGAUUAUUUUAGUUAUUUGAUUGCAUUAAUUUGAAUGGCUGUUUUGAUUCUAAGAAAAUCUAUUAAAACGAGAAUGUAUGGAACAAUUACAGAACAAUUUGAAUAAUUAUAUUAAUUCGAGUAUAGUUAUUAAACGAAUACUUGUGAGGGCAUUACUAAAAUGUAACUAUACUAAGAGGAUCUUUAAAUUUAGUCAUCUAAAUGUCCGAACACGAGUCUACGACAUGAAAUACAAGAAAACAAAACAUCUAUUAACUCACUCACCUUGUCGGUAUAUUUUGUUAAUUAACCAUGGAAUUUAUUUAUGGGCUUAUUUAAUUUGUUUAAUAACCAAAAAAGUGAAAAUUAGUUUUGUAGAGAAAGAGAAUAGAGAGAGAUAGGAAGAGAAAAACAGAGAAAGAAAGAGAGACAGUGUGUGUUUUGGUUACUUAGCAAAUUUGUUUUUUUUUUUUGUGGUUAUAGAGUGUAGUUCUGCUUAUUUAUUAACAAGGGAAAUUGCACCUUAUAUACAUGAAAAAACAUAAAUACACUGAUUAACCAAAAUCUCCCUCUCUCUCCUAUUUUCUCUUCCUAUCUCUCUCUACUCUCUCUCUCAAAAUCUAAAUUUUCUUUUUUUUUUUGGUUAUUUGGCAAAUAAGCCCUAUUAACAAAUGAUCAACAGUUGACCAAAAACAUUAUUUAUAAUCAGCAAAAAUAAAUUUCACCUUAUAAUUUUUUUAUUCAAUCAUGGGUCAGUAAUAGUUAGAUUUUAAAUAAAUGAUAUAAAUAAGUAACUAUGGGCUGGACAUCACAAUUGGUUGCAUUAAACUAAUUUGGGUUACUGUAUUUGGUAGAGUAAUUAACUGUUUACGAAGAUUAGAUGUUUUGAAAAAAUCUUUCACCUUUUAUACUACUAUGAGCAUCAUUAAUAAUAGGUUUUUAUUUUUUGUCAAAAUAAUAGGUUUCUGAAACUGAAUCUCUGAAUAUAAAUUUAAGAAUAUUUAACAUAAGACAAUUUUUUAAUUAAAACUAAAAAUUUGCUGGAUUGACAUAUGUAUAAUAUAUACUAUUAAAAAGGGAUUAUCUUAGAAAUCUAUUAUACAAAGAUUAGAUUGUUGCACUUACUCAUUAACUAUUUAUUAUUUCAAAUCAUAUUUUUAUUUUCUGUAGCUAUAAAAUAUUUUAAAUUAAAUAAUUUAUUACUCCUUGUUAUAUUUACGAAACUAAUUAUAGGAACCACAUUUAUGAAUGGAAUUUCACAAAAUUGCAUAGAGUAAUAAAUGAAAUCAAAUGAAUUUAAUAAAAUAAAUGUAGAUUGAUAAAGUUAUAUAAGGAAACUUGUGUUUGUAACUAAAUAUUUCCAUUGCUGAUUUUCAGUAUAAUAGGAUACAUUAAUUAUGUUUUAAUCUAAGGCUGUGGUAUGACUUUAAAUAUUUGCAAAACACAGCAAUGCCUAAAAAAAGUCUUGGUUUUAAUUGUAUUGAUGAAUAGAUUUUAUCUCUCUCUAGUCGAGUUAUCUUCUUAUUUUUUGUUUAACUAACCCCCAAGUAUUAAGAAACAAAAACAAAAGAAAAACUAACCCAAGUUAGAAGCCCACUCAAUUAACCCAAUCCCGACUCAGUGAUAAGCAAACUACCGAUAUAUUCAAUUCAGUUUAACACUAAAUUUAAAAUGUUUAAGCCAAUGAUGUGAAAACAAACGGUAGGUAUAUUUCUGAAAUAUGUUUCUCUGGAGUAUUUAAGGUUUUAUUAUACAGAGGACCUCUAUUGCAGAGUUCACUAGUAUCUCAUGAAUUAAUUUAAAAUGUUAUUACUGUUUAAUUAAAUUUAUAUUUUAUCACUAGUAUUAAAUUUAUACUUUAAAUAUUUUAAAGUAUUUUUAAAUAUUUUAGAUGUAGCUUCAACAUUAAUAUAGUUACUCGAUUAUAUGUUUAAAUUUAUUUGAUAAACAAAAGGAUAAAGCCUUUCUGUAAUGAAAAUACAUCUUAUCUAUUAAUUUCACUGCUAGCUACAAAUAAAAAUGGUAAAAUAAUAAGUCUUUCUAACAUUAUGUUUAAACAUCACUAUAAAUAAUGAUGCAGUAAUAUUUUUAAAUGUUUGGUAGGAAAUAAAAAAUCUAGAAGGGGACGUUGCGAUGGACACCGAAAGCGGUGAGGUAGACAUCAGUGUUUCUUCCGUAAAACCCGAUUAUCUUCCUGCCUCCUCCUCCUCGGAGCACAAAUGGCGUCCCAUCCUCGGGUCCAUAUCGGGGCGCUAUUUUUCUCUUGUGCAACCGGAACGUGAGGGAGGUAAUGUAGUUGUCGUUGUAGGUGCCCUCGACAGCUUCAAUGUAGUCAUCAUCAUCGAUUAAAACCUAUAACAAAAAACCUAUAUUAUAGAUCAUGAGUUAGAAAAAUAAAAUAAGAAAACUCACGUCAUCAUAUGUAAUAUGUGUUGCAUUCCCGUGAACGGCUCCGAUUACAACUGCCUUGUUGUUGGAGUAAUCAAAUUUGACAAAGGCCACGCCAGUAUCACUUUGUCCCACACUUAUUUUCUUCACAUUAUCGAAGAAGCCAUCGUCCCAUUCGUUUUCUCCAACUCCAUUGGUCGCUUCUACUCCUCUGGGGAAUACAAAAUGGGACUUGGCAUCGUUCGCCCCAGUAGGAAGUGGAACGAAACUCGGAUAGUAUGUAAGAUGACGAGUUCCAAACCCAACCAACUCAUUUAUUUCAAUUUCGUGAAACUUAUCUCCCUUGACAAUAUAAAUACACGUAUUUCCGUUUUUAUUAAUGCAACACAAUGCGAGACCAUUACUUUUCUCGUCGAUGAAGUAACUUGGUCUUUCUAAGUCGUCAACUACUAUAUUUGACCAUAUAGGAACUAGCACAUUCAUGAACUUCAUCCACUCUACGGAUUCUCCAUCCCCAUUUUUAAUCGUAUCUUUUGUCACCCAAAUCUCAAUAUUCCUUGUGUUCCAGUCUUGCUCUAAAAUAGAAAAUCGAUCUCUCCUAUAAAUCUCAAGAACUCUAACAUUUGAUAGAUCGUUUUUGCCAGGCAAGUUACAAUAGGGUUUGAGACUUUCAAUAGAAAAAUCAAAACUUAGAAUAAGAGGCUGGCGUGCACUUUUUUUAACAGCAAUCCAAUACAAAGUUCCAUUCAGAGAUAUAGUAUAGCUAGAGCAAAUCAUACUCCAGCUAUGGGAUGAAAACUCGUACGAUUUCCAUGCAUUGGAUCCAACCUCCGUGGUAUUAACAUACCUGGUGUCAUAAUUCAUACGAGACCCAAAGAUCUUGUAAUGGUUGUCGGGUUUACUAUAGUCGUAUCCCAUCCCAAUGAACCAACAAAAUGAUGGUUUCGAUUUGAUCCAUCUAAUACGUCUUAACCAUGGGUUGCAAAUCCCGAAGCCCGUAGAUGUGGCAUAAAUCAAUAAUCCCUCGCAAUAGUGCAUUCUCAUGACCAUCCUAUGUUCAUAGUUGGGAAUAUCGGAGGGUAAGUCAUGCACUUCUAUAGAAGGACCGUCGAAAUUAACGUCUACUGAACAAGUCUUAGAUUCGGAAAUCAAGACGAACUGUGGACGAGCCAAAUGAUUGUUAAUGAACUUCAAAUCAUUUAAAAGAGUGUUCCAUCGUUUGCAAACAGAUCUGAAUCGAGCUACAGAUUUCAGUGGAAUCCGAGAGAGUAUACUUUCCUCCAGUUCCCACAAAAGAUGCUCUUGCUGCAUUAUAUUAUCUGUUAUGGUCUAGGUUUGUGACAAAAUAAUCAUUUACAUCACAAUUUGAUUAUAUAUAGAUGGAUCUGUAUAGGAGGAAUUUGUAAAUUACAUUGGAAAUAUUAGUCCAUAUAUAAACAAGGAAAAUAGCAGUGCGUGGAGAAUGAACAGGAGAACAAAAUCCUUUUGUUUUCAGAAUUAACUAGAGUUGGUAAGAGAUAUUAAAAAAAUUAACUUAGAACACAUCCAAUGAAAGAUUUUCUACAGAUUAUCAUCCAAAAAUGAAUGAAAAUGAAAAAGAAGAAGAAAAGUAUCUCAUUUGAGAACUCAUGAGAUAUUCUUCCUAAUAGGUGGUCAUAUUUUAAUUAAUCUAUUUAUGUUUAGUAUUAAAUUUAAACAAAAGAUCAGAUUAUGUUAAAAUAUGAUAAAUUUUAGAUACUAAUUUCAAGAAGCUUUAUGGUAGGCAUGCAUAAAGAAACUUUAUAGAUAGGCACACAAAAAUCAAAUAAUUAAUUUGGAUUGGAUGUUAGUCACUGGACCUGUAUAAAAAAAGUAAUAAUUAUAGUCACUAGAUUUAUAUCCAAAAUAAAUAGUUAUAUAACUUAAAAUAUAAAAUAAAUCCGCAAAGAAAAAUAUAUAUAAAAAUAAUUAAAUUAAAAAAUCAAAAAUAAUAAAAUCUUUGAUUAUGACUGAUCAUUUGUUUUGCUUAAACUUAUAACCUCUUAUGUAAUUGUAAUAUUAGGGAAGAUAUUUUAAAAAAAAAGAUCUUCGUAUUAAUUUUGUUUACAAAGACAUGUGGAAAAACAUAAGAACAAAAUAAAUACAAAUGAACUGAAAAUAAAUCAACAACUUUCCGGUCCACUCAGAACGGGUUAGUCGAAACCCUAAUUCAAAAUACAAAGGAAAAAAACAGAUUAGCCGCCACCAGCCAACCCAACACAGUAGGAAUGAACUUUCGGAUUUCAUUUUAGGAUCAGUUCGGAUUUACAUGUUUUGGAAGCAAAAAUUUAGUCUCAUUCAGAUAUUGUAAUAGUUCAAUUUGGUGGCGGUUCGGUUUCACUCGGGUUUGGUCGGAUAUAGUGACAUAUUGGAAAUAUGGGUAAACUCCAAAAUACAUAUCUAAGUUCACAAUUUGAAUGUUUUUGAAAACUUACAUUGACAAAGACUUUGUGGCAUGAUUAAAAAGUGGUUGUUAAAAAAGGAAAAAUUCCAUAAAAAUACCCCAACUAAAUUUUGCUAUGUUUUUUAAUACCCAAACCAUUUCGGUACCUACUUUAAUAUCUCAACUAAUUAUUUUACCAAUUUUAAUACACAAAAUUUUAAAAUUGUGCUCAUUUUAAUACCCAAAUUUUAUUUUUUAAUCAAAAAUACUAAUAAGUUCAAAAUAAAUUGAAAAAGUCUCUAAAAUUUUUAAUUUUGUUUUUAAAAUUCCCACUUUUAUUUUAAAUUAUAGGAAAGAAAGUAACUAAAUUAUGGAGAAUGAUGCAUAAUUCUAUACAAAUAGAAUUUUUAGAGAAUUAUUGUAUAUUUAGGAUUAUGGUUUAUAAAUUAGGAUAAAAAGAAUUUUUGUUGAUAAACGAGUAUUCUUUCAGAAUUUUUCAUCAAUAGGUUGCAUUUGCAAAAUAUUUCUUUAAGAACUAUUAUUUUCGAAAGUUUUCAUUUUUAUAGAGAAAUUUAUAUAUUUGGGAUUCUAAUUUAUAAAUUAGGAUAACAAAAAAAUUUUAUGAAAGAUGAGUAUUUUUUCAGAAUGUUUCAUGAAUAUGUUGCAUUUUUUUAAUAUUUUUUAAAAAAACUUGAUUUUUUUUUAUUUUAAAGAGAACUAUUGUAGAUUUUGGAUUCUAAUUUAAAAAAUAGGAUAAAAAGAAUUUUUGUUGAUAGAUGAAUAUUUUUUCAGAAUUUUUCAUCAAUAGGUUGUAUUUUUUUUAAUAUUGUUUUUAAAACUGCUAUAUUUGGAAAGUUUUCAUUUUUAUAUUGAACUAUUGUAGAUUUGACAUUGUGAUAUAGAAAUUAGGAUACGAACUUUUGAUUAUAGAUGAGUAUUCUUUCAGAAUAUAUAAUCAAUAGAUUGUAUUUUAAAAUAUUUUUUAAAAAACUGCUAUUUUUGGAUAGUUUUCAUUUUUUAUAGAUAACUAAUAAAUAUUUGGGAUUCUAAUUUAGAAAUUAGGAUAACAAAUUUUUUUAUGGUAGAUGAGUAUUCUUUCAAAAAAAUUUAUCAAUAGGUUGCAUUUUUUAAGUAUUUUUCUAAAAAAUUAUUAUUCUUAGAAAGGUUUUAUUUUUAUAAAAAACUAAUGUAGAUUUUGAUUUUGAUUUAAAAAUUAGGAUAAAAACAAUUUUUUUGAUAGAUGGGUAUCCUUUCAGUAUUUUUAAUCAAUAUUUUGCAUUUUCAAAUAAAAAAAUAAUAAUUGCUAUUUUGGAAAAAAAAAUCAUUUUAUAGAGAACUAUUGUAGAUUUGGGCUUUGGAUUUAGAAAUUAACAAGAAUUUUGUUGAUAGAUGAAAAUUUUGUUGAUAGAUGAAAAUCCUUUCAUGAUUUUUAAUCAAUAAGUUGCAUUUUCAAAUAUUUUUUAAAAAAUAAUUGCUAUUUUGGAAAUUUUUAUUUUAGAAAUUAGGAUAACAAGAGUUUCUGUUGAUAGAUGAGUAUUCUUUUACAAUUUUUAAUCAAUAGGUUUUAUUUUUUAAAUAUUUUUUCAAACUAAUAUUUUUGGAAAGUUUUCAUUUUUAUAGAGAAUUAUUAUAAUCUGCUAUUUUUGGAAAAUAUGUUUAUUUUAUUUAUAAUAUUAUAAUCUAUUAUAAAAAAAUAUAAGUAGCCAAACAAUUAUAAAAUCAUUUUAAAUUAUUCACUGUUUUUGUUUUUUACGCAUUUCAAAAAUUUUACUAUCCAUUUUUUUGUUAUUAGAAAUUAUAUAUAAGGUGAUGAGUAGAAUAAACAAAAAUAAUUAAUUUUUAGUUACUGUGUUUAGUUGGUUGAACUGUAUAAAUGUUUCAUUUCACUUAAAUCUGUUUAUGAAUUUUGUUUCCAAUUAGUAUCCAAAUAGUUUAAUGGACCCUCCCCUUAAAUCUACAACCCUACAUUUUUAUGUUUUAUUUUUUCUUAAAUCAGCAGUUUAAAAUUUUUCAUAUUUUUAGAUAAAAAAAACUUCAACUAAUCGGGACCCAUUAUCUAAAUAUUCUUUUUAUCUUACUUAUAUAAGUUUUGAUGUAAAAUAUUAUAAAAUGUAUAACCAAUUAAACUGAUUCAACAAAUAAUAGCGACAAAAUGAUUUGGAGAUAUAAUUGUAGAUCUUUGUAACAUUAUGUCUAAUUUGGUGGAGUGUGAAAGUCGUGUUGACAUUGAGUGCAACGCGUGGUAUAAUGUUUGGGCCGUUUACUAAUUUUCUUUGGGGCUUCGAACUAAUUGUGUUGGGUUGUAGGUAUAUGGUUUUAGAUUUUGUGUUAUUUUUGUUCCAACAGAAUUGUAAAAUCAUUAUUAGUUAGGACAUUGUUUAAUUUCCUAUUGAUUUUAAUGUUUUAUUUUAUAGGAUAUUACAAAUAAAUUGUGAACUUCACAUUGUUAGAUAUUUUAGUUAUGUUUUUAAGAGUGUGUUCAAUAAUAAAAUGAAGAAAGUUACGAUUAGUUUUAAGUAUGAGGCAAUUUUGGUUGCCUUGCGGUUAAAAGAUCAUGUAAGAUUUGUAUAAUUGUGUUGAGGAUUCUAAGAACUUCCAAAGCUCUGAUUGUUGUAUGCUAUAUUUGCAUUUGGAAAUAAUGCAUAUGAUAAUAGUAUUUCGUGGGAGGAGUUGAUUCUAGGAAAUGAACUAAAAGAAGAAUUAAAUGCGAUGAGUUAUUUUGUUUGCUCUGGAGAAGAAGUGUUGAGGUGACAUAUUUGAUACGCUACGUGGACUUUAAAUGGUGUUGAAGUUGUUGGCCUUUUGAAACUUCCAGUCCAUAAUUGGGGAGGUUACUGUUCUUGUGUUAUGGGAUUGCAAAAAUUGGUAAUUUUAUUUUAAUAUAAGUAUGUUUGUAGAAAGAGUUUGGGCCUUACCCAGGAAAAAGAGUAAUAACUGUCAGCUUAUUAUCAUUAGAUCUUCUUAAAAGGCCAUGUUCACCUUUAUCGAAGAAAGAGUGAUAUUUGCCAAAGAAACAUAACUUAAGUUCAGAUAGUAUCGUAGUGUUUUUGAUACUUUGUCUAAACAUCCAAGAUGGCAAAGGGCUUCAUAGUGGUAAGUGGUAAGAGACCUUACCAAGCUUACUUGCGCCAGAAGGUAAUGCAUAUACUAACAAUGUGUAUGUUUAGACAGUCCCUGUCUCAUUAGUGUACAAUAUUCUCAUCGUUUGUUUUAUGUUGAGAACCAAAGACAUAAUCACUUUUAUUAAACCAAAUGAAUUGCACGGCUAGCUUGCACAUAAUCAAAAUAGAGAUUAUGCAAGAAGCAUCGAAAAUGAAAACAAAAACUGGAUUUGUUUGAAUGCUCUCAUGUCAUAAUUUCUUUCAAAACAAAAUUUGUAGAAAUAUGUUAUCAGCAGAAAAGGUCGUAUAUGUAAGGAACAGUAUAUGGAUUGUUCUUCAUCUUGAUCUGUCUCAUAAUUUAAGGAGCAGUAUACCUGAAGAGUUUAUUAAUAACACUAUGAUAAGUAUUAUGAGAAACAAAAUAAAGCAUCUCGAUGUAUAUAAAUAAAAUCAUGUACACAAAAAGAAUUGUUAGGAAUGCCUGUUAAGUUUUUUUAUGACAGGACCAGUGUCUUCUUACCUUCUUUGGUGUUGUAAUGAUAAACUCGUUAAACAACAACUCUCAUGGUGCUCAACUUCUUUUCUUCAUCUCUAUCAAUCGAGUCAUCAUCUCAACGUAAGCCUAUGAGACAGACUUUCACUAUCCUAUUCUUCAUGACAUUUUUCCCAACAAUAUUAUUUCUAUGGUAGUCACUAGUCAUCUUCUCUUACUUGGCUGAAGAAGAUAACGAUGAUUUAUAGAUUCACCGUCUCGUUUUUCGUAUACAUAUAAAUUGUUCAGACAUACCUCACUCAUCAAAGAGACCCUCUUGAAUAAUUUGUUUUAUACUGAUCAAACACCAAUUAACAAGACAACACACAGUUUAAAUUUGAUUAGGCAAAAUAAAUAAAACGAACAAGAGCUCGGAUUCACGGUUGUUCGCCACGUGUUUUUCUCUCAAUCAUCUCCUUUUGCUUCUCCGCGAGCUUAUCCAAAGCAGACGAAACGGCGUCGCUUCCACCGAUCAGCAACCUCGUGACAAUCUCCGGAUCCGUCUCGAAUCGCGCCGCCUCGAACUCCUUCCUAGCGUUCUCUCUCAGCACGUCUCUCCACAGGACCCCCCUCGAAUCCGUCCACGUGUAGAACCGAGUCGCGCGCAAUAUGUCCCGGUACAAACUCAGCGCCUCGCGGCGCGUGCUCGUCAGACGCCGCCUGUUCAGAUACUCGGCUUCGUCGUCGUUGAUCAGCGGUGGUUUCUCUUUCUUCGCGAGGUGUCUAUCGAGGAGCUCCUCCAUGGUGUCGGGACCUUCGUGGAGGAGCCGUCUCGUCGAUAGAGCGUCUCUCCGAGAGAUCAGAUCUAUACGACUUGACAGGUUUCGCCAUUUCUGAAGAUUCGAAGCCAUCAAGCGUUGAGAAACUUCGUCGUCUCCGAGUGACGACGACGACAAUAAGCAAACUGGGCUUAAAAGGCUGUGAAUAGCUUAAUGAGUCAUAAUGGGCCUUUAUAAAGCCCAUCUAACUAGUAAGCUAACUACAACUCUGGAACGUAAGCAUAGUCAACAUUCAUACUAUUUUGACCAUGGUAACCUAGCUACUUGCCUUGCAUGUCCAACAUCUAAUCUAGUCCUUCAAGUUUAGCUCUUUGUAAACUUAUUCUUAUCAUUUACAGAAUCUAUUGUUCGUCGUUGCAAUCUAUGGUCUUUCCAUCUCUUGCCUAAUAGUCUUUUUCAACUCUGCAACUAAAAUAAAAUAAUUCAACACACUUUAAAUAACAUUAAAUCAACACAAGUUUAUUAAUUAUCCUUCAUGAAUUUGGAAUAUGAAUUAUGAUAUCGUCGUCAGAACAAGAACAAGAAGAUGGGAAAAGACAGUCACGUGAGAAACAUGCAGUGAGUUAAUGAAAGAGAGUGAUAGAUUUCAAGGUUUGUUAUUAAUAAAAAAAAAUAAUGAUUCAGGCUAUUAUAUUUACUGUUGGUUGGUUUGGUACAUUUUUUGUUUUGCUUACCAACCAUCUUUAAUAAAAUUGAAGUUUGGACAUGUUUCGGUCGUUGAUAUAUUUGGAAAAAUACUAUUAUAACCAAAAAUUAAUAAGCAUACGUUUUCAGUUUAUUUUUUACUUUAUCUUUGUUUCAUUCAAGUUUAUUAAAAAUUCGGAUAUGUCACCACAAGUGAGCUGUUGUCUAUGAGCUGUUGUUAUCUAUGUAUAUGCAAGAUAUUCGCGCAUUGAAGUUAGACUUUACCUUUGUGCAAAGGGUUGAGACUUGAGAGAAAGUCCAACUUACUGGAGACUGAUGGUAAAUGUUAGGUGCAUCUGUUGACUAGCAAACCAGGCAAAAAUAAGUACUAGUAUCAAAUUGUUACCCCUAAAACAAAUAUUUCGCAUGAUUAUUGAAUGCUCCCAACUACUACUAUACGAAUGCCUCGGAACCAUCGCAGUAUUAACUUGUACCAGACAUACACCAAAAUUAAUUAGGUAGCUAUAGCUUACAAAAUAAAAUAAAAAAAGAAGUAUAUAGGUGGUUUAGUUUUAGAAUCGUGUUUGAACAGCAAUAAUACAAGUGUUCAGUUCUGAACAGUGGACACCUCUGCAUUGUCUCAAUAGUUUUUUUGUCUGUUUUGUUUCUGUCACAUUUUCGGCGUAAUUUACAAUAAUUUCGAGUUUAAAAUUCUUCGACUUUUUUGUAUUUUUGGGACCAGAGACUAUAAUACUAUUCGACUAAUCACACGCAAAAGUAAACCAUGUGAUAUUAACUAAUUCCGACCGGGGUUUAAUACUUUCAAUAAAAAAACAUACAGACACAACUAUUGGAAUGUUUCAGCGUCCAGUUUUCAUUUUCGAUUUUUGCCUGACCAUGUAAUCAGAAUAUGAUUUGGUAAUCAAACCCACGUAACAUUUUUAGAUCGUAAGAAACAAAAUCAAAAUUUGAAUUAUGUAAGCUCCACAACUACCCCCCAGUGCAUUGUCGAUGAGUUCCAACUUCUACCUUACUGCCUGAUUAUUUUUUGCAUGUGGGUCCAAAGUCCAAACUAAUCACCACCAUUUUCAAAGUAAUACUUCCUCUGUUUUUUUAUUGUAAGCAGAUUAAUUUUUUCAAAAAUAACAUUUGAAAGAUAAAUUAGAUGUAGUUAAACCAUAAAUAAGUAUAUAUUGUUUGAUUGGUAACACUAUACCCAAUAAAAAUAAAAAAUUACUUAAAAUUAUGAAAAUUAUUUAUAUUUUGAAACAAACAAAUUUUACUUUGAACUACUUAUAAUAAAAAAAAAACAGAAAGAGUACUAAUUUUGAUUUUAGGAUUAUUAAGGCCCACAUUAGAGUCUAAGCUCUCAUUAAAAAUUAGUCUAAUCGGCGUAGAAAAAAAAGGAAAGUUUACUUUGCCAUUUAGCUAGUAACAAACAACAUGCAUUAAACAUUUGAUAUCUAUAAGUCGGCCGUAUAAAACACAAAGUUCUUUCCUUUUAGCUCACAUUUGACCAAAACUCCUCCAAUCCAGACAUCAUCGUUGACUUUUUCAAACUUGUGUUCCUCCUCUCUCUUUCCUUUCUUCAAACAUCUCAUAUAACACAACACCAAGAAAAAGAACAAGAGUUCCUCUGUUCCUAUCUUCAAUUUUUGCUGUGAAUCAAUCAAUGGACAGUAAACACCAAACUUCAACUUCGAAACCAAAGAACAAGAACAAGCUCUUGAAGAUGCUUCCUAAAGCUAUGUCGUUCGGACAUCGCGUUCCACCGUUUAGUCCCGGAAGAGAUCUCCACCACCACCAUAACACGACGUCGUCUUCUUCAAACAAAGCGUAUUUCUCCGGUCCUAUGGUCCCUUUGGUUCCCAAAGCAGCUCGUGUCCGGAGAAACAAAAGCGACGCCGUCUGGAGCGAACCCACUUCGCCUAAAGUCUCUUGCAUCGGACAGAUCAAGCGCGUCAAGUCAAAACGCUCCUCCUCCCCUAAGAAAAACAUGAUUCCCAAGAUCCCCAAAACGUCGUCGUCUUCUCUAACCAAAGGAGAUGAAAAAGGUCGUGUUUCGAUGAUCAAGCGCCUCUUCUCGUUCUCCUCGGCGGCUGGAAGUGGAAACUCAUCAAGAAAAUCACGUCCCACCGCGGCCACUGAACAUCCGGUCACGGUGGUUUCAUCCGCGGCGGUGCCGUCGUUAGGUCAGAUGAAGAAGUUUGCGAGCACUCGUGAAGGUUUAGGAGGUUUUGAUUGGGCGGUUGAGAUGAAACGUGAAGAGGAAUCUCCGGCUGAUCGCGGUUACUAUUCAGACGAUGAGAGGAGAGGAGGUUUCUUGAGAGACGACGACGAGGAAGAAGAAGAGGACGAUAUAAUAAUACCGUUCUCAGCUCCGUUGAUGAGUUUGAAACCGAAGACAGAAGUUAACUUGUGGAAGAGAAGAACCAUGGAUCCACCUAAACCACUUCAUCUUCAGACCUAAUGAUUAAAAACUCUUUUAAAUUUUUUAUCUUUUUCUUUCGUUAUAUAUAUAAGUUACUGCAAACCAAAUCAUAUAACGAUCAUCAUACACUGUGAAUCUGAUGAUUAUCAUUUUUCUUCUUUAGUUAAAUUAUGUGUGAAUACCUGUUUGGGUUCAAUUUUGAUAUAUGCCACAAGUGAAAUCUCUCUCUCUGAGACUACCUUCUUGCAACUACGAUUACAAAUUAUUAUUUUUUUCUUUCUAUUGGUGACAAUGUGUAUGACAACGACCGAUGUCUUCCCACCACCAGGUUGUCCAUAUAUUAAAUGUAAUUCACAACCAUAUUAUUGCUUAUUCAUUUCAAAAUCUUCAUUGGGUAGGUACAAAUCAAUUAUCUUACCGAAAAGUUAAAUUGCGCUCCAAUUUCUAGGCCUCGCAUUUGUAAAUAAACAUGAAAUUCGAACCCAACUCAAACAAACAAAUAAACAAAUAAAUUUACGAUUGGAGUUAUAGAAAUAUCCAAAUAAAUUCGAAACAUCUAUAAAAUUCAAAUAGCUUUCUUUUAAGCUUAGGAUAUUCCAAACCCAUUGAAAGACUUAGACUAAGGGUGGUGCGAUCCACGGAUGAACUCUCAUUAUUCGGAUUGAAUGUGGUUUAAAACAUAGUCUCAUAUCCUCAUGGCCACAACGUGAAAUGUAGUAAGGUACCUUCAAACCUGAAUUACUUAGCACCUUAGAAUCCGUCUACCAGUAGACCACAACUUUAUAGUUAAAUUCAAAAAGUAGUUAAGAAUAUGAACCCAAAAUAUCAUAAAUCCCGAUCGGAACGGAUACUAUAGAGUCGAGGACUACCAAUAAUUUUACGUGCCUUCAACGAUAAGAAAUAAAACACAAAGCAAAAUCAAACCAAGAAUCACAUGCGUUUUUUUUUCAUAUUAACCGGUCUCGGAUGGUACAGACAAAACCCACAAAAACAUUUCCUUUCAAUAAAUCGAGUUUUGAUACAACUUAAUAAGUGACACGGACGCCUGAGUACCGGAGAAUCUCUCCAAUAAGUUCUCCUUUACCGGAACCAACAUACCGCCCACAAAUAUCACCGUUUCUAAUGAACAAGAACGUGGGCACUUCGAUAACAUUCAUGUCUUUUAGAAACUCCAUACAGCUAUCGUUCUCGUCCCCGUUCAUUCUAGCGAACACGACAGUCUCCGACAUCGACCGGGACAGCUUCAGCACCGUCGGAUAAACCUUGACACAUGGCCCACAGUGUUUCAGACCAACGUCGAGUACAAUCAGCUUGCCUCCAGUACGGUUCUCAUCAAUAAGCUUCUCCACAUCAGCUCGGCCGUGUAGCUGCACCACCGCCGAGUGGCUGUCCCCGUAGUAUAACACGUCCCCCAUUAGCUGGUCGGGGCCAAUACCUGCCAAACCGUUAUUAAAUGUCAGCCACUAUACUAAAUGCUAUUCCAUCUAUUUCAGAAAUAUAUAUUUGGCAGUUUUUCAUAAGAAAAUAUUAAAUUUUGAUUAUAAAUAUACUAUCUGUGAUUAAUUAUUUUCCAUAAUUUUAGUUAGUAAUACUUUAACAAAUGUCUUUAAAUGAAAAUUGAUUCUUUUUUUGAAACAAAUAAUUUUUUGAAACAUCUAUUUUUAUAACGGAGAGGGAGUACUGAUUUAAACUACUAAAUUGUUGUGUACUUUCUUUCCCUUAGUUUGAGAUAUUCUGUCUACGGAAUCAUGAACAUCAUCUUUAACAAAAGGUUUAGUUCCAAUUUAAAUAUUAGUUUAUCUAUGUUAAUUAGUGUAGAGGUAGUUAAGGGGUGAUUAGAGUUAACCUUCUUCCUCGUGUAUUUUCUCCAUGCUCUUAUAAAAGCUGAAGUGAGGAACUUUCUCGAUCUUCUCUCUCCGACAAAGCUCUCUUGUCUUUUCGGACUCAUCACCCAUGACGAGCAAGAAGUCGACGUCGUUACAUGUCCUGCUCAGCUCCACCAUAAACGGAUAUAUCUUGCUGCUCUGAUCACUCUUACUCGUGGCAAACUCCACAACCACAAGCUUGUUCUUGGCCUUCUUAAGCGCUUCGUCGAACUCCUCUCCGCUGUGAAUCUUUUGCACUUUCUCGUCCUUUAUUGCCGGUGUACCCACCUUCCCCGGUGGCGCCGCACCGGCCUUGACCUUCACGGCUGAGAAUCUUCUUUUCGAGGGAUUUUUAACACAGCUCUGUUUUAGGAUCAGUGAGUUGGGUUUGGGGUCGAAGAAUACGAACGAGGAGGAGGAAGAAACGGCGGAUGUUGGCCGUGGAAUCACGGUGGUGAUUCGGUUGGCUGAGAAGUUAGCGACGGUGGCCAUUGUGAGUGUGUGACUAUUGGUUAGAGAUUGGUGAGUGGUAUAAUGUGGAUAGAUGUUAUGUUUUUAAAAAGGACUCAAUAAUUCAUAUCCACUUAUUUUAAUUGUGUGGCUUCUGUUCGCUUUAGAUUAGAUUUUUUCUUAGGAACAAACGAAUAUGUGAUUUUGUAGCGAUUGCAGAUUCUAAAAGAUAUCGACGUUAUUUUGUUUACGUUGUUGCAUGAAGACAAAUAUGUUGGAAAUUUCUAUCGCCACCCAAGUGAGACUAGUUUAACCGGUUGAUUGCAUCGGCCGUCAAAAGUCUUAUGAUAAUUUUUCAGGUCAGUUCGAAUGGUCUAUCGACAUAACCAUGUACACGUGUAAUAUUACCAACCUCUCGCUCGAAUAACAACACUAUACAUGGAAACGAGGCAGGCUAAUAAAGUAUAGGCCUUUUAGCCCACAUCUCAGUAAGCCCAUUAUAGUCUCGACCAAACUCCUUUUAAUUAACAAAAUUUGUAAUCAAUACAUAAAAAUCUGGUAUAAUAUUGUAGGCUAGACGUGGCCAAAGGAAACUCAAAAACUUAUUUUAAAAACUUUGAACAAAAUAAAGCAUCGUUUUCUAAGGUAAUAAGUCGUAGUGCGCGUGACCACGAUGCAUCCACUACCGUAAUGCGACAAACCAUUAACAAAAAAAAUCAAAAACAAGAAUAUACAAAAGAUAAAAUAAAUCAGACGGUUGGCAACAAAAUAAACAUAUCGGACGGCCCACAAUUCCCACGACCACGCACUUACCAGUUACCACUACUGUCUUAACUCUUAACUCAACGUGGACACCUACUAACGAAACUACCAACCCCUUUACUUUUAAAAGUUCAAAAGUAAACAAUAACACGUGCUAACCCCAUUAACGCCGGCGCAAUCCACGGCAGAUCUCAACCGUCUAUUCUAUUUUUAUCUUACAGAUCUCAUCAAACAUCAUCAGUUGUUAUACCAAUCAAAUUGAAUAGAAGUAAAAAUUUAAAACACACUGAACAGCAAAGAGAUAUUAAUACGAAAUUAAAAAAAAAAGAGUCUUAACGGGCAAAACAUGAAACUGACUUUUUUUUUUUGUUUGCAUCAUUCAGAAGAAGCUUUCUCUGGUUUUCUACAGAGAAUCAUAUGCAUCGGCGAGAAGAUACCAGUCUCACCACCUCUAGACAAGUAAUCAGCAGUCUUAAACAACAUCUCAUGAACAUCAACGGUUCCUUUCGGAGCGAUCCCAACAGCAGACAGAACCACAACCACAACAUGGUUCCUCCAGUACGCAAUCCGACCCAUCUUAAGCCUGUUCCACCACGGUUUAGCGGGCGGUUUAGCCAAAUCCUUCUCUUGCACGACCUCGAACCCGACUCUCCUCGCCGCCGCAGCGAUGUCCGAGUACCUUCUCAUACCGGGAAGAGCGUCUCCCCUCUCGAUCCCUUGGAUCACCUCCCUGUGCUCUUCGUCUUCGUCUCUGUACUUAUCCGUCGUGACCCACUCGUACGAAACGUACAAAGAUCCAGGCUUCAUCACUCUGUAGAUCUCCGCGUACACUUCCUCCAGCUUGGGAGCGUGACACGUGGCCUCGAUAGAGUAAGCCCCGUCGAAGGAGUUAUCAUCGAACGGCAUUUGUAAAAAAUUACCGCAAACGACGUCGCAUAGAUGGUCCAGGCCCGCUUUUUUAUUGUGGAGCUUGGCCCGUUUCACUUGGUAGUCGUUGAUGGUGAUUCCGGUUACAUGGGCCUUUGAAUGGGCCGCGAUGGCUCUCAUCGGCCCACCGACUCCGCACCCCGCGUCUAAGAUUUUUUGCCCCGGUUUGACUUUGAUGAGAUCCACUGCCAUCUCUUCGUGGAUCCUCGUGGCGUCCUUGUCGGAUUUGCCCGGGAUGGAAGGGGAGAAGUGGAAGGACUGUCCCCAUCCCCACUCGUAGAUGUCCGUGACGAGGUUGUAGAACGUGUCGACGAAGUCAGGGACUUUCUCGGCGGUCUCGAUCUCUUUCGGUUUGCGGAAGAACGACCAGUAUUGGUUGUAGUUGUCUUUGACGUUUUCAGCGGAGAUGGAGCCGCCGGAGAGAUCUAAGGCUCGUUUGCCCUUUCGUUCUGCUGGACCUAAGACGCAGACGAACCAGUAGAUGCCGCCGGCGGCGGCUAGGGCGGCGGUGCAGUAGAGCGUUACCGAGUCCAUCAGUGUUUCUAAGAGAGAGAGAGAUGGAGAGAGGGUUUAGAACUCUUUUAAUUGUGAUCGGUUUGAUGGGUUUUAUAUGCAAAGAUGUAUGGAAGGAAUCUUUUGAUAAAUUAACUCCUUUUAAAAUAUUAGUACAAAAUUGGCUUAACGGAAAAAUUAUUGCCCAUAAAUAAAGAUUCUCGGAUCAUUUCCAUUUGGUAUUAUAUCUUAGAAAAAGGAAUUUAAAGUAUUUUGAUAUAUUAUGUAAUCUAACCUAUACUAAAAGGGUUAUAUGAGGAGUAGAGAGGGUGUCCACGUCAGAUUAAAAAAUCUACCAAUCAGAAAGAUUCAAUUUGCCAUGUCACAAGACCUUUCUCCUUUGCUCCUUCGUUUGGGCUGAUUCAUCUUCUCCGACUCUUGCACUUUGUCGUAACCCACUCUUUAUAAUCUUAAAUCCCUUUUUAAUGGUUUCGUUCCACACCAAUUUGUUAUGAUCUUAAUUUCUUUUUUAAUGGGUUCGUUCCACCUCCUCCUCUUCUCCUUCUAUCGCUUCAUCUGAUCUUAAAUCUAAUCGAAAACCUCCACUGAAGAAAGCUACAGCUACAGCCAUGAAAUCCACCGGAAAGUCUCCCGUCUCCACCAACAAGUCUCCUAUGGCUGUGUAUAUCAACGAUGUCUCACCCGGACCAGCCGAUUGCAAAAGGUUGGACCCGUCAGAAGUACAGGUAUGAGUGAUAAUCCCCAAAUUUUCUUACAUCAUAGUCUAUACCAAUGUCCCUAACUGCUGAUUGAAUAUUUCCGUUUCAAAAACACAGUUUUUUUUUUUUGAAGAUCGUAAGCCCAAACUCCAAAAAACUGGGAGCUUCGAUCAUGGAAGUCCAUUGCUACAAAGCCUUGCAUCCAUAUCCUUUUAAAUACGAUGACAUCUGUUCAUGCAUGAUCCAUCGCGGAUUUACUAUUGCGGUAAUAUGAUUUUUUUGAGUAUUUUUUUUUUGCAAGAUCCACCAAUAAUCCAAAAUCGCUCGAAGAUCAGGUAUUUGUCCUCAUCUUCAUACUUAAAUAUUUCUUUCUGUAUUGUCGUGGUCAUCUAAAUUUUAAUUUAUUCAGAUACGGUGAGAUUUGUGUAUGGUGAGCUCCUGGUAAUCUAAUCUCUUAAGAGUAUGUUAUUACAUAUGAGAUAUAGUGAAUACAUUAGAUAUUUAUGCAUCUCUGCUUUUUUUUCUACAGGGCUGCCAUGAAGAGAGAAUUAUUCACUGAAGCUUUUGCAAUGGUAUGUUUAGACCUUAUUUUACUGGUAUUGGAGUUUUUUUUUCAAUGGUCCAUUUUACUCAAACGAGUAAGUUUGUUGGUUUUAUUCUUGAAAACCAUCAUGGAAGAUUAAUAAAUAUUAUGUUCUCCUAUUAGUAUACUAAUUUAUAAAAAAUCCUAGAUCAUGCUGACUUUUUUGGUUCACCUUGAUGACAAAUAUAUGCAAUGAGUUUGUGAUGUUCCAGUUAGCUUUUAGUGUUGCUUCUUUGCCAAUUAUAUUCUUUGUAAUGAUUGGAAAAGUAUCUCCAAGCUCUAGAUUGGUAAUAAGUUUAUAAGUUCUCGCUUACUUGAAGCGUGUUUAAUCUUCUUUUUGUUGCGAAGAGCAGCUUUACGGUUGGUAUGGGAGCUAUACAGAGGCAACUUCAACAAUCUCCGUAUUGAAUGAGAUAUAGUAAGUCUGUUCCGAUAAAGCUAAUCUGUAACCCCGUUGAAUUCAUCACAUUAUUAAAGUGUACAUCUUUCUAUUACUGUUUGUUCCUUCGGUGAUACAUGUUUUUGACACAUUGAAAUGGUGCAGAAAAAUCUCACGGAACAGCACUACUGCAACUCAUUUGCUUACGCAGCACUCAAUGCAGUCCAUUAUGGGCAUGGCGGACUUCAGGUAACCUUUUUCAACUACCUUGCUUAGUUGUAGUGACAAUUUCUCUAUAGGAAACUCCAUCAUCUUGGGAGCUACCGAGUUAUAUAACUUUGUGUCUCAGCUAAUUGUUGUCAGUUCGGUUAUGUACAUUCUAAUCACAUCAGAAUCAGGCGGUAAGACUGAGCAAUUCAUGAACAUGCUCCCGAUCAACCCCUCCGCUAGCGUCAGAUGCGUUGAAGUCCUGGGCUUUAGCCAUCUCUGGCGUCCUUUUAGCCACAGCGGAGAUCGCAUUCUUCCAAGGAUAUCUCACUUGGCUAUCGUUAGGCUAUACAAUAUACAUCCCCUUUAUCGGUGGACGGACUAUAUAUGUUUCCUUCUACUCUCGAGGUAACAAAAUAAAAAUUGGAUCUUCAAGAAUUUUAUGUUUGAGAUGUUAUAAUGUCAUUUUUUGGUGUUUGUUUAAUUGGAAGGGGGAAUAAUGGGACUGUUGAUAACAACGGUGGUGAUUGCGUUGAAGGAUCUGUAUGCAGAGUGUUUUGAAUGAUCCCAAGAAAACCAAUUAGCUGUUGUGGGUUUCUUUAGUCGGAGCUUUCAAGUGCUGCCAUGGCUGCUGCUUUGUAUUGUGAGAAGGAUCAUGUAGAUUAGUUGAGAAAGAUAAAGAUAAUAAUUUUUUUAUGGUUUUAAUUUAGUCUUUUUCCUUUGGAAUGUUAUGUAGUGUGCAGCGAGAGAUGUGUAGUAUGAAAUUUCAAUUGUUAUGUUAUAUUGUAUGUGAUCUGAAUCUUUGAGGAAAACGUGUUAAAGUGUUUGCUGAUUAAUUGUUUUCAAAGACUCUAAAACAUUUUCUAAAAUGUAGAAAGUUGUAUCAAAUUACAAUAAACCACGUUUUAGUACAAGUGCUGUUGCGAGUCAGAGGGAGCAUAUGACCAGCUGGUAAAGGAUUAGUAGUCUUGGAGCUAGGCAACGGUGUAAUCAACGUGUCUGCGUAGUUAAGGAUUAUGCAACAAUUGCUUUACGUUUUUCAAUGAGAAGAGAGAUAAAAACAUGGAUGCAUUCUAUUAAAAACGGUUUAAGUAUAAUUAACCGAUAAAUACAUAAUUUUUGGCUGACAAAAAAUACACAAUUUUUGAUAUUAUCAAAAUCUCCAUAUUAACAUUUUUGAAUAUUUAUUGUUUUCCAUCUAUUUUUAUUACUUAUACCAAAAAUAUUUAUAACUGUCAUAUCAAUAAUAAUAUUGUUUACUAAGUUAGCAUAAUUAUUGACUCUAAAUUUUAGAAUAACAUGAAUAACAAGCCUUUAGUUUUAGUACUACACAGAAAUUAAAUUUAAUUUAAAAAAAAUAGAAAUAUAAAUUAUUAUUAGAUUUAAAAUCUUUAAUUUCAACAUGAAGAGGCAUGGAACAGGAAAUAAAUGAACAUGUGAAAUUACUAUAUAUUUUAUUAUUAUUGUUCCUAAUUCAUAGAAUUACAUAUGAUCAUUCUCUUUAUCUAUUGUCAGAAACUUAAAUAUUCUAAUUAUAAGUGAAUACACUAUACAAAAAUUAGAAUGUAACAAAGUAUAUAAAAUUAGAUACCAAAAAAAUAGGGUAAAUUUAUAAAUCGAAGCCGUCUUCAAUAACUUUGACUAUAUGUACAUGUAUACUUUAUAAAAAUUAUUAUAUUACUUCUUGAGAAAUUGCCAUAAAUACCGCAUUCAUAUUACUAUUUUUCAUGUUUACACUAACUAUUUUUCACUUUUAAUCAAGGGUAAAAAACAUUUAUAUCCCUAGGGUUAACUAAUCUAGACUUAAGAUUUAGAAUUGAGGGGUGGGUGGGGUAGGGUUUUUGAAAUGUGAAAUUUAGGAUUCUAAUAACUAUAUAAAUAAAUACUUAAAAAAUUAAAAAUUAAUAUUCGAUUUUUAAAAAGAAAUUUUGAAAAAAUAAUUUGAAAAAAUCAAUUUUUUUUUAUAAAAUGGUUCGAAUUUGAAAAAAAAUAUAAUUCGAAAACAUAAAAAAAAAUGAUUUUUAGAUUUUUAUUUAUUUAAAUAAUUAUUUAUUUUAUAUAUAUAGAGAACGAAAUUGGAAAUUGCCACAAAUACCACAAUCAUAGUACCACUUUUCAUGUAUAUACUAAUUACUUUUACCCUCACUUUUAACGAAUGGUAGAAGACACUUAUACCCAUAGGAUUAACUAAUCUAGACUUAGAGUUUAGAGUUGAGGGAUGGGGUAGGGUUUUUGGAAGAUGAAAUUUAGGAUUCUAAUUAAUAUAUAAAUAAAUACUUAAAAAUAUAAUUUUUUUAAAUAGUUUCAAACAUAAUUUUCGAUUAUCAAAAAGAAAAAUUGAAAAAAAAAAUUAAAAAAAUUAUAGAAAAGUUCGAAUUUGAAAAAUUCUAAUUCGAAAACAUAAAAAAAAUAUUAUUAUAUAUAUAAAGAACAAAGGUAUUUGCCACUUAAUGAAGAAGAUAUUUUUGAAAAUGUCCCUUUAGUGGUGGUAAAGAUGAAAAGUGGUACCAUGAAAGUGGUAAACAUGAAAUGUCCCUUUAUUUUUUUAGUCAUUUGUCACUUAAUGAAGAAUAUAUUUUUGAAAAUGUCCAUUUAGUGGUGGUAAAGAUGAAAAGUGGUACCAUGAAAGUGGUAAACAUGAAAUUUCCCCAACAAAGUUAAGAGUCUUUUACCACUUAAUAAAUAAAGUAUUUUUGAAAAUAUCCAUUUUGUGAUGGUAAAGAUGAAUAAUAGUAUCAUGAAAGUGGUAAACAUGAAAUUCCCUCUUACUUUUUUGAGCAGUUAUUUUUGGUUCAACUACUAAUAGUUGUAAUUUUUAAGUCCGCUUUUUUAUAACAGUUUAUUAUAAUUAUUAGAUUACAUGAUUAGUGAAAAAAUAUUUAUCAAGAUUUUUUUACUAUAAACAAUAUUAAAGUUAUUGAAAACAAACCCACACAUCAAUCUCUGAUAAUAAUGAAUAAUGAUUUUUCAAAAUCAAUCAAAAACACAAGAAAUGUUAUACAAAUAAGCAUUAAACAUGAAAAUGCAUUUCUCUUAUUCAAUAUGUUGUUGUAAACUGUAAUCUUCUUCUUCAAAGCCAAAAAUAUAUUAAAAAUGUCUUUUUGUAUUACAACCUUUUAAAUAAUAGUUUAUUAAUAAAUCAGAAAGAAGCAUAUAAAAAAAGAACAUGGAAAAAAUAAAUAAUUUAACUUAAAUUGAAAAUAAAAUCAUGUCUAACAAACAUAUGAAAAUAGUAUAGUUAUAACAAAAAUAUUUAUAAAUUAUAAUAGAGCUUAUAUGUAGUGUAUAUACUACAUUUAUAAAAAACGGAAGAUAACAAAAGUUUCAAAAUCUUAAAACACAACAAAUAUCAAAAUUUUAUAUUCAAUAUAACAUGAAAAUGAAAGUAACUAAUACACCAAUAUACAAACUAUAGUUAAAUAAAAUAUAGUUCAUAAUCCGCGCGUAGCGCGGAAAAAUCUCUAGUUGAGUUUUAAUAUUUACAAAGAACCAGUUAGAAAUUGACAUAUUUCUCAGUAAUCUUUUGUGAGUUUGAAAAUGAAAAUUACUUUUAGUUUUUCUUUUUUAUUAUUAAGAUUUUUUUAGAUGAUUUUUGAAAACAUUCCAUUAAUAAUUUUGUUGUUCUUGGAUUUUUUUUUGCUUGCUAUAUAUUCUUUCGUUUUUUCUAGAAAAAUAUUUAGAAAAAAUAUUUCAAAAUUAUGUUUAUAUAUAUUGUAAUGUAUCAUUUAAAUAAUAUUUACGUUUAUCAAAAUUUUAUUGGUUAAUAGUUGUUGUAAAUAAUUAAUUAGAAAAAAUAUUUCAAUAAUCAAAAUUUAUUAUAUUUUUAAAAUUUGUGUGAAAGUUUUAAAUCUUCUCUAUUAAAAGAGAAGUGUCAUUUUUAUCUAAUAUUUAGAAGUCUAUUAUGACCAUUUCAUUAAUCACAUAAUAUGUCAUAAUAAUUAAUAGGAAUAUUAAUAAUAAAUUAAUUUUAACUAUAGAUUUGAAUUUUAUCUUCAGUUAUAACAAAAUCUGUUGAGAAAAAUCUAACAAAAUCAUACUAAAUUUUUAAAUAAUUUUUAUUAAAUAUUGCAUUAAUUAAUUUCGUAAUUAAGUAAUAUAAUGCUUUCAUUUAAAUAAAUUAUCAUCUACCACUAAAACGGGUUCAAAUUUAUUAAUCAUGUCAGAUUUUUUUUAUACUAAUGAAGUUAUUAACAUAUGUUAAAAAUUUAUUUCUACAGCUAUAUAUUUUUAAAAAUCAUAUGUUGAAGAAUAUUUUUUAUUUGAUUAUUUCAAAUUAUGAAAAUCCAAAAACGUAAUAAAAAAAGUAAAAUGUAUAAAACAAACCCCUAUAUUAAUAAAGUAAUAAGAAACCUAAACAAUAAAAUUAAAGAGUUAUAAAAUACAUAAUACUAAGAUAUAAAUUGUAUAUUUAAAUUUAUAUAAUAAUAUCAAAAUUAAAUAUUUAUAAAAUGAAAAUAUAUCUGCACGGUGUGCGGGAUAAACUCUAGUAUACAUUUAAAAAAA